RNAcentral lists this ribosomal RNA (582 nucleotides) under uncultured eukaryote. RNAcentral's name for it is "eukaryotic LSU rRNA". The stretch from base 189 to 342 matches the Rfam family "5.8S ribosomal RNA". The record is from RNAcentral.
AAGUCGUAACAAGGUCUCCGUUGGUGAACCAGCGGAGGGAUCAUUAUCGAGUUAUUCAACUCCCAAACCCUAUGUGAACUUACCACUUGUUGCUUCGGCGCGCGCUUCGGCGCCGCCGAGGACACUUAAACUCUUUGUUUUUAUAAGCAUUUCUGAGUGGCCGAAAGGCAAAAAUACAAAUGAAUCAAAACUUUCAACAACGGAUCUCUUGGUUCUGGCAUCGAUGAAGAACGCAGCGAAAUGCGAUAAGUAAUGUGAAUUGCAGAAUUCAGUGAAUCAUCGAAUCUUUGAACGCACAUUGCGCCCGCCAGCAUUCUGGCGGGCAUGCCUGUUCGAGCGUCAUUUCAACCCUCGAGCCCGACUCUUUUGAGGACGGCUCGGCGUUGGGGGACGGCAGACUCCCCCCGGCAUCUCGCCGGGGACGCCGCCCCCGAAAUCUAGUGGCGGCCCUCCGAGGCGACCUCUGCGUAGUAACUUGUUCUCGCACCGGAAAGCUCAGAGCGGCCACGCCGUAAAACCCCAACUUUUUUCAGGUUGACCUCGAAUCAGGUAGGACUACCCGCUGAACUUAAGCAUAUCAUA